UACGGAGGGAGCUAGCGUUGUUCGGAAUUACUGGCGUAAAGCGCACGUAGGCGGCUAUUCAAGUCGGGGGUGAAAGCCCGGGGCUCAACCCCGGAACUGCCCUCGAAACUAGAUAGCUAGAAUCUUGGAGAGGCGAGUGGAAUUCCGAGUGUAGAGGUGAAAUUCGUAGAUAUUCGGAAGAACACCAGUGGCGAAGGCGACUCGCUGGACAAGUAUUGACGCUGAGGUGCGAAAGCGUGGGGAGCAAACAGG
This 252-nucleotide ribosomal RNA is filed under the name uncultured bacterium. RNAcentral's name for it is "partial 16S ribosomal RNA". It matches the Rfam family "Bacterial small subunit ribosomal RNA", at positions 524 to 776 of the family's 1533-position model. The record is from RNAcentral.